CACUAGAAAGCUAAAACAACAACAGCAUCAGCCUUUUAAACUGAUAUUUGGUGAACCACUCCACCUCUAGUGC
Molecule: transfer RNA, 73 nt
Filed under: Sigmops gracilis (slender fangjaw)
Lineage: Eukaryota; Metazoa; Chordata; Actinopteri; Stomiiformes; Gonostomatidae
Description: tRNA-Lys
Source: RNAcentral